AAGUCGUAACAAGGUUUCCGUAGGUGAACCUGCGGAAGGAUCAUUGCCGAACGGACGCGCGCUCGAAGGCCCCCUCGCGGGUCGAGGGCCGCGUCUUAUCGCACACCCAUGUGAAUUCGUGAUCGUGACCCUGGACGGUGUUAGUUGUUGAGCUCAGGCUCGCCGAUGCCGAUCCGGCUCCUUUCAACCCAAUCAACAAACCACGUUGUCAAAAACCUCUUGACUGAGACGAAUGGGUCGACGCCCAACAAGCGCCUGACUCGACAAGACAUAACCUAUCACAACUUUUAACAACGGAUAUCUUGGCUCGC
RNAcentral lists this unclassified non-coding RNA (311 nucleotides) under fungal sp. RNAcentral's name for it is "partial internal transcribed spacer region". The stretch from base 1 to 46 matches the Rfam family "Eukaryotic small subunit ribosomal RNA", at positions 1786 to 1831 of the family's 1831-position model. Lineage: Eukaryota; Fungi. The record is from RNAcentral.